ACCAAAUGCCCUGGGAUGUGGAGAAUCUUGCACAACCUUUUUUAAUUUUUUGAAAAGGGAAAAUGUAGUAAUUAGUUUUUGAAAAGAUUGUCUUAUUUUUUCAGUAUGCUUUUCAAAUAUUAUUUAAUGUUUAAUAACAUUUGAAAUAAUUGGAAAUGUUUGGAAAGAAAUAAUUUGAAAUACAGAAGAACCUGAAAUAUGACUUAUAUUAUUAAAAUCUAAAGUUUCUCCAUCCAGAAAAUAUUAUUAAUAAAAAUUUGGAGAAUUUGAAAAGGAAUACAGUGCAAAUACAGUGCAACACUAUUUAUUAAAAUCACCUUACAGUACCUGAGAGAGCACAGACAAAGCCAUGGCGGGACUGUGGCAGGGGCAUCUUUCUUGGCAAAGUGAAAUUAUUUUACUCCCAUAAUUUGCUACAUGUAGUUUUAAAUUUUUGAUUUUUCAAAUUUGCUUUGAGUAAAUCUGACUUCUUGGUGGACUGUUGUAGACGUUUUAGACUGUAAAUUUGAAUAACGGUCGCCACAUCAGGAUGCAGACGGCUCCAUCACUCCUCACCCUCUCCUACUGCCACUAACGUCUCACCCUUCCGUAUCUGCACGCGGCAACCUCUAUUCCAUUUUCCAACACGGCGCUGUCUUCCCGUCUUAUAAUGAACUCAAACUGUGUAACCUUUUAUCCUUUCCAUUCGUUGGUAUGCACUUUUCUUCACUGGGUGUCAGUUGAGAAGCAUAAAUGUUAAAUGUCUCGUUUUCAUUGCAAAGAACAUUGCCCACAUUCUAGAAUGAAAAGUCGUGAAUAAAGAUAAACAGCUUUUUCACGUUUUCUUAAUGGACCAUCAGAGCCAGGCUUCCAGCAACAUUGCAUUCUAGAAUUCUUGGAAACUACUCACUCACUGAAGAAUCUGUUUCUGGAACUUCCCCGUCAACACAAGGUGCUACAAUGACCUAGAAAGGAUAUUAUUCUUCAAAACUGAGAACCUGAGGCACAAAAGAGAGAAAACAUCUGAGCUACAUGAAAAGCACCGAUGUGUAUACAGUUGGUGUAAGAAGAUAAGUGGAAUAGCAACAGAUAUUCUAUGGAUUUGCCAUUGUAAAUGUAGACAAAGCCUCAGGCACUUACCUGCAUGAAUCAGAAAACAAAAUCGCAUAUCAAGUUAAUUAUCUUGUGAACUGCACUAAACAACAGGAGAUCUGAGGAGAAAGAGGUCAGUUGGCUGGAGCCAUUAGAAAACAUUUUUGUAAGAAAGAGUAUAGAUUUUGGAAAUAAAGUCUUAAGGUUUGGAACAGAACAG
This is a long non-coding RNA of Chinchilla lanigera (long-tailed chinchilla), 1291 nucleotides long. NCBI's taxonomy places the organism in Eukaryota, Metazoa, Chordata, Mammalia, Rodentia, Chinchillidae. The record is from Ensembl.